Molecule: long non-coding RNA, 1342 nt
Filed under: Vitis vinifera (wine grape)
Lineage: Eukaryota; Viridiplantae; Streptophyta; Magnoliopsida; Vitales; Vitaceae
Description: long non-coding RNA (VVIN_LNC000402)
Source: RNAcentral
GCAAAGACCAAGCGUGAAAAGUAGAAACUCAGAACUUAUUUCAACAAUGGAAUACACUUUUGACUUGACUUACUAGAGAGGAGGACAUACGAAACCAGGUGGAGGAGUCUUCCCACAAGUUAUAAGGGCUUCUAGAGCAAUAGGAAUGAAUAUGUUGAGGUUAAGAAGCUUAAGCCUUAUGGCAGUGCAGAGACACACAGCUGCUUCAAGCUCUAGCAAGCCUCCAAGCACCGGGCAGCAUACAUUCUCCACUGGAUUCCCCAAACCAAUAUGCACCAAACCUCCAAGCACAUCCACGCAAGCCCCUAAUUUAAUCGCAUUUACUGGACAAGUUGGUGAAGUAGAGGGGGGAGGGUUAAGACCUGGAAGACCACCACCUCCUCCUCCUCCGCCACCGCCGCCGCCUCCGCCGCCGCCUCCACCACCACCACCUCCACCGCCGCCACCCCCGGAAGGGGGGUUACCAGUAUAAGGUGGGUACGUGCUUGAGGGUGGCGGAAUGGUCACCGGAGGGUUUACUACCGGAGGUGUUAUUCCUGGUGGAUUAUUUGAAGGCGGCGAUACUAUCGGUCGCUCUUUGUGGUGGCCGGGUGGGUGCUUCUUGGAUGGAGGAUGAGGAUGAGGAUGAGGAAUUGUCGGUGUGUUUGGGCGGCGGUAAGGUGGGCUUGGGUAGCGGUAAGGUGGCUGUGGCUGUGAGCAAUAGCCACAAGCCUGCAUUGGCGGCAAUGCCAUUAACAUGAAAAUCAUGAAGAUGAAGAACAUGGCUGUACCCUUAGAACCCAUAACUUUGGGUUCACAGAGGAUUACUAAAUCUUCUUCGCGGCAAAUGAUGAACUUGAUCCUAGGACUUUAUAGCGGAAUUCAAUGAGUCACCCGUGACUAGUGACCUUGAACUGAAAGUGUGAAGGAGGACAAUACGUGGAUAGAACCCCAAGCUCGGAAAUAUAGGCUUUAAUUUGGAAAUUAAAUUGAAAAGUUUGUAGUUUUGCGCUGGAUCGGGAAAACCAAUAACCAAUCCGUGACCGGCCCAAUUCAAUCCGUGAAAGCCUUCGAUUUCAGAACAAGUUCAGUCUCACGGAUUCCCAUUGCUGCGUCUCUUUGUUUUCUUUCGAUAAUUUCACUUCACUUUUAUAUUUCUUUUUAGCCCAUUGCUUUUUCUGGGUUUCUCUCAUUUCUUUGCAUUUCUGUGAUUGAGAAUGAUUUUUUCAUCAUUUCGAGGCAGGGCACUGUAAUUACAGCGAAGCACUUUGUCCUCCCUUUCAAAAACUGUUGGCGGGUUAGAGAGGGAUGGGAGUCUGAACCAAGAUGGUGUACGAGUAAGACUAGGGUUUCCAGGGACACA